Non-coding RNA from Vigna umbellata (rice bean), 823 nucleotides. NCBI's taxonomy places the organism in Eukaryota, Viridiplantae, Streptophyta, Magnoliopsida, Fabales, Fabaceae. The record is from RefSeq and is a predicted model, not a curated record.
AGCUAUAGGUAGAAUAGAGGGCUAGAGGGGAAUAGCAUAAUAGCUUUGACGCGUAAGAAGUUGUGGAUGUUGGUGAGCCAACCCUUUUGCUAGCUGGCUGUCGGGGAGAGGUCCCCAGAUCCCUCUCGCACUGCACGUGACUUACCCCCUCCCUCUCCCUUCCCUUCUCCUCUCUCUCUUUCCUGUCUCACUCUCUCCUUGGCAGCUCUGAAACAAAAAGCAAAUCAUCGCUUUCUUCUUCCAUCAAUCCAAAACUCAAAUCUCUCUCUCUGUCUCUCAUUUCUUAGUCUCUCUCACUUUCUUCUCUAUCUCUCUCUCGGCUUUGGUUUGUAUGCGUUAAGACGAUUCCGCGCUAUUAACGGCUGAAUCAGAUUCAAAUGCUAUUGGAUGCCAAUCCAGAUUCAGACUGAAUGCUUGGAUCUGCUGCCGGUUACAUGAUCUCCCGCGUGAAGCAAUUGGGUCACUAAAAUAUUUAUAUCAAUGAUUUUGUAUAAUCAGAACUACCUUUAGCCUAUCUCUCUUAUGGGUUAAUGAUUGUGGCGACAUGGUUUUUCAUUCUAAAUAUAUAAGAACAUGGAGGAGACACGAGAAGAUGCAGGGCCGACAGAGCAAGGGCCAUCUAAUGUGUCGUGGUGGCCUUCAGAUUUUGUUGAAAAUUUUGGAUCUGUUUCUUUGGAUUCUCAUGAUGAGGCACUGAGUAAUAAAGAAUCUCCUGGACAUGUUGUCAAAGAUGUUUUGUCUUCUCAGAAAGCAUCACAAACUCUCUGGCGCACUGGGAUGCUUUCAGAACCCAUACCAAAUGGUUUUUACUCUGUUGUUCCGG